UCAUUAAGCCUACUACAUAUUGAAUCUUUGCUCAGAUUGAAUAAGU
Molecule: ribosomal RNA, 46 nt
Filed under: Aspergillus wentii
Lineage: Eukaryota; Fungi; Ascomycota; Eurotiomycetes; Eurotiales; Aspergillaceae
Source: RNAcentral